GAGGAUGUAGCUCAGUCGGUUAGAGCACUAGAUUGUGGUUCUAGGGGUCGUGGGUUCGAGCCCCAUCUUCCUCCCCA
RNAcentral lists this transfer RNA (77 nucleotides) under Xanthocytophaga agilis. RNAcentral's name for it is "tRNA-His". It matches the Rfam family "tRNA". From Rfam's summary of the family: Transfer RNA (tRNA) molecules are approximately 80 nucleotides in length. Their secondary structure includes four short double-helical elements and three loops (D, anti-codon, and T loops). RNAcentral also lists the same sequence under 1 other name. Lineage: Bacteria; Pseudomonadati; Bacteroidota; Cytophagia; Cytophagales; Rhodocytophagaceae. The record is from RNAcentral.